GACGAACGCUGGCGGCGUGCCUAAUACAUGCAAGUGGAACGCGUACCGUGGACUUGAGGCUUCGGCCAAUCCGACACAUUUGUACGAGUCGCGAACGGGUGAGUAACGCGUAGGAAACCUGCCGUUUAGAGGGGGACAACAGUUAGAAAUGACUGCUAAUACCGCAUAACAGUUGAAGAGACAUCUCUUUAACUUAAAAGUCGCAAUUGCGGCACUAAACGAUGGUCCUGCGUUGGAUUAGCUAGUUGGUGAGGUAAAGGCUCACCAAGGCGAUGAUCCAUAGCCGACCUGAGAGGGUGAUCGGCCACAUUGGGACUGAGACACGGCCCAAACUCCUACGGGAGGCAGCAGUAGGGAAUCUUCGGCAAUGGGGGCAACCCUGACCGAGCAACGCCGCGUGAGUGAAGAAGGUUUUCGGAUCGUAAAACUCUGUUGUAUCUAAAGAACGUGUGAGAGAGUGGAAAGUUCUCACAGUGACGGUAAGAUACCAGAAAGGGACGGCUAACUACGUGCCAGCAGCCGCGGUAAUACGUAGGCCCCGAGCGUUGUCCGGAUUUAUUGGGCGUAAAGCGAGCGCAGGCGGUUUCUUAAGUCUGAUGUAAAAGGCAGUGGCUUAACCAUUGUACGCAUUGGAAACUGGGAGACUUGAGUGCAGUAGAGGAGAGUGGAAUUCCAUGUGUAGCGGUGAAAUGCGUAGAUAUAUGGAGGAACACCGGAGGCGAAAGCGGCUCUCUGGGCUGUAGCUGACGCUGAGGCUCGAAAGCGUGG
Molecule: ribosomal RNA, 768 nt
Filed under: uncultured bacterium
Lineage: Bacteria
Description: partial 16S ribosomal RNA
Rfam family: Bacterial small subunit ribosomal RNA
Source: RNAcentral